RNAcentral lists this ribosomal RNA (202 nucleotides) under uncultured bacterium. Its description in RNAcentral is "partial 16S ribosomal RNA". It matches the Rfam family "Bacterial small subunit ribosomal RNA", at positions 328 to 539 of the family's 1533-position model. The record is from RNAcentral.
ACGCUCGACACCUACGGGAGGCAGCAGGUGGGGAAUAUUGCACAAUGGGGGAAACCCUGAUGCAGCGACGCCGCGUGGAGGAAGAAGGUCUUCGGAUUGUAAACUCCUGUUGUUAGGGGAAAAAGAGGAUGGUACCCAAACAAGGAAGUGACGGCUAACUACGUGCUAGCAGCCGCGGUAAUCUGGAGCGGGCUGGCAAGGC